This 65-nucleotide transfer RNA is filed under the name Ochthebius sp. IBE<ESP> AN76. RNAcentral describes it as "tRNA-Glu". The record is from RNAcentral. Lineage: Eukaryota; Metazoa; Arthropoda; Insecta; Coleoptera; Hydraenidae.
AUUUAUAUAGUUUAAUUAAAACAUUAUAUUUUCAAUAUAAAAAUAAAAUUUAAUUUUUAUAAAUA